CUACGGGAGGCAGCAGUGGGGAAUAUUGGACAAUGGGCGGAAGCCUGAUCCAGCCAUCCCGCGUGCUUGAUGAAGGCCCUCUGGGUUGUAAAGAGCUUUAGUCUGGGAAGAAACUUGUUUCUGCGGAAGCAACUGACGGUACCAGAAGAAUAAGCACCGGCUAACUCCGUGCCAGCAGCCGCGGUAAUACGGAGGGUGCAAGCGUUAUCCGGAUUUACUGGGUUUAAAGGGUGCGUAGGCGGCACGAUAAGUCAGGGGUGAAAGCCUACGGCUAAACCGUAGAAAUGCCUUUGAUACUGUAGUGCUUGAAUUAGAUCGAGGUCGGCGGAAUGUGGCAUGUAGCGGUGAAAUGCAUAGAUAUGCCAUAGAACACCAAUUGCGAAGGCAGCUGACUAGGUCUAGAUUGACGCUGAGGCACGAAAGCGUGGGGAGCAAACAGGAUUAGAAACCCGUGUAGUCC
This 460-nucleotide ribosomal RNA is filed under the name uncultured bacterium. Its description in RNAcentral is "bacterial SSU rRNA". It matches the Rfam family "Bacterial small subunit ribosomal RNA", at positions 339 to 796 of the family's 1533-position model. The record is from RNAcentral.